RNAcentral lists this ribosomal RNA (558 nucleotides) under Spizocorys sclateri (Sclater's lark). Its description in RNAcentral is "partial 16S ribosomal RNA". It matches the Rfam family "Bacterial large subunit ribosomal RNA", at positions 2056 to 2849 of the family's 2925-position model. The record is from RNAcentral. Lineage: Eukaryota; Metazoa; Chordata; Aves; Passeriformes; Alaudidae.
CGAAAGCAGGGAUAACCACAUAAGACGAGAAGACCCUGUGGAACUUCAAAAACAGCAACCACCCUAAUAUACAUUCACACCCACCCCGGGCUCACUUAUCCAUAAAGCACUGGUUAGCAUUUUUUCGGUUGGGGCGACCUUGGAGCAAAACAAAACCUCCAAAAACUGGACCAUCCCUCCAGACUGAGAGCAACCCCUCAACGUGCCAAAAGCACCCAGACCCAAUACAAUUGAUCAAUGGACCAAGCUACCCCAGGGAUAACAGCGCAAUCUCCCCCGAGAGUCCAUAUCGACGGGGAGGUUUACGACCUCGAUGUUGGAUCAGGACAUCCUAGUGGUGCAGGAGCUACUAAGGGUUCGUUUGUUCAACGAUUAACAGUCCUACGUGAUCUGAGUUCAGACCGGAGCAAUCCAGGUCGGUUUCUAUCUAUGAUGAACUCUUCCUCGUACGAAAGGAUCGGAAAAGUGAGGCCAAUACCACAAGCAAGCCUUCGCCUUAAGUAAUGAAGCCAACUGAAUUACAAAAGGCUAUCACACCCCACAACGUCCAAGAAAAGG